This 466-nucleotide ribosomal RNA is filed under the name uncultured bacterium. RNAcentral's name for it is "bacterial SSU rRNA". It matches the Rfam family "Bacterial small subunit ribosomal RNA", at positions 338 to 795 of the family's 1533-position model. The record is from RNAcentral.
CCUACGGGUGGCGCCAGUGAGGAAUAUUGCACAAUGGGCGCAAGCCUGAUGCAGCCAUGCCGCGUGUAUGAAGAAGGCCUUAGGGUUGUAAAGUACUUUCAGUUGGGAGGAAGGCGUUGAUGCUAAUAUCAUCAACGAUUGACGUUACCAACAGAAGAAGCACCGGCUAACUCCGUGCCAGCAGCCGCGGUAAUACGGAGGGUGCAAGCGUUAAUCGGAAUUACUGGGCGUAAAGCGCACGCAGGCGGUUGAUUAAGUUAGAUGUGAAAUCCCCGGGCUUAACCUGGGAAUGGCAUCUAAGACUGGUCAGCUAGAGUCUUGUAGAGGGGGGGUAGAAUUCCAUGUGUAGCGGUGAAAUGCGUAGAGAUCUGGAGGAAUACCGGUGGCGAAGGCGGCCCCCUGGACUAAGACUGACGCUCAGGUGCGAAAGCGUGGGGAGCAAACAGGAUUAGAUACCCUCGUAGUC